Molecule: ribosomal RNA, 393 nt
Filed under: uncultured bacterium
Lineage: Bacteria
Description: partial 16S ribosomal RNA
Rfam family: Bacterial small subunit ribosomal RNA
Source: RNAcentral
CUACGGAGGAUGCGAGCGUUAUCCGGAUUUAUUGGGUUUAAAGGGUGCGUAGGCUGUGCGUUAAGUCAGGGGUGAAAUGCCGUCGCUCAACGACGGAGCUGCCCUUGAUACUGGCGUGCUGGAGUACGGAUGCCGUUGGAGGAAUGAGUGGUGUAGCGGUGAAAUGCUUAGAUAUCACUCAGAACACCGAUUGCGAAGGCAUCUGACGAAUCCGUCACUGACGCUGAGGCACGAAAGCGUGGGGAUAGAACAGGAUUAGAUACCCUGGUAUUCCACGCCGUAAACGAUGAUGACUAACCGUCGGCGAUAGACAGCCGGUGGCCAAGCGAAAGCGAUAAGUCAUCCACCUGGGGAGUACGUCGGCAACGAUGAAACUCAAAGGAAUUGACGGGG